UUCAUGCAUAUAUCUAACAGAAUAACAUCAUCUAAUAUAACACACGUACAACUGUGUUUCAGACUGCCAGCAGCAACAAAACUCCAGACGUGGAUUCCCAAUCUAUACUACCAGCAGUAACUGUUAGCUACACGGUUCAUGUGCCCAGGAGAGCCGAAGAAGUUGAUGAAGCAAUGUCAAGCUUUGAAAACGAAGAAAAGAGGCACGUGAGUGAUUGUUUCAAGUCCAUCAAACCGUCAUCCCCACUUAGCUUAUGUGUCAAUGAAAUAACUAUUUUCGUAUAUUUUUUCCUACUUUCAACUUCGGUUGUCUUUAAUUAUCUGCAAACUAUCUCCCACCAGGAGAAGAAUUACUUGAUUUUUAAAUAAAGGAGAACGUUGAUGGGUCUUUGCAUUUCGUGAAAAUAAGCAUGUCUUUUGCUUCAUGCAUGAGAACAUGUUCAGAUAGUUACAUGGCAUCGACAUUAAACAAUGCAACAAAGAAACCAACUAAAAUCCAAUAGCCACCAAAACAAAACAAAAACCCCAGAAAAAGUGACACAAGCACACCAUCAUAUGUUCCUCGGUGGGAAUUGGGAUGCAGACAACUAAAUACAAAAAAUAUAUAUGUAUCAACUGGUCUUCGUUCACAAAGCGUCAUACACGUAAUCAACAACAAACAACUGCCUCCCUACUAAUUCCACCACCUCCGACCCUCUGCUUUGCCAAAUAACUGCACGCACCAACACAAAUGUAAGAACAACAUAACUAACAACGCUAACACUAAGUAAAACUGAACAUCAACAACAUACACAAAUAACUUCGCGCUUGUGCGGGGCUCGGCCUCUAGUUACCUAUGACUCAAAUAAUACAUGUAAUGAAUAUACUAACUCAUAAACUUUCUUAAUUACUAGAAUACACAGGGGUGACGAAAAUACAAAAAAAACCAGGCUUCCUUUUAUUAUUAACAAAAUUGCCAUUGGAUUAAUUUAAUAGGAAAAUGUAUAAUAUUUUCCAAAAACAAAACCCUUUUGUCUAGACUCGUCUUCUUCACACAUAGAACCUCCAUCUCCCACAACUUCGCAGCAGUUUUGCGUUUCGUCACCUCCUCCCUAAGUCGGCAUCGUCCCUGUACAUGAUGAACCCUAACUCCGAAAGAGGAGAAUCUCCUUCUGAAUUCAUCAACCAAUACUCUGUUGGCCACAAGCUGACAAAGGACAGAAAAUACGAUUCAGGCAGGUUCUCUGGACUUCUUCUGUCUUCAAGUGGCUCACCUAGAUUGGGGUUUUCCAGGAGCCCCAGUAGAUUAUCUUCUCAAGAUGAUUUGGACGACCCUGAUAAAAAAUAUUAAAUAAAUGUUGUAUAUAAAUUUUUUUAUUUAAAAGUUUUAGUUCAGUGUGGAUUCAUUUUUUCAUUAUCAAAUAAAACUAUAUAUACCAAAAUACAUGUUUCAAAUCGAUUUCUUUGUUAGAUGGGAUA
Brassica napus (rape) is the source of this 1457-nucleotide long non-coding RNA. RefSeq lists it as uncharacterized. The record is from RefSeq and is a predicted model, not a curated record. Lineage: Eukaryota; Viridiplantae; Streptophyta; Magnoliopsida; Brassicales; Brassicaceae. The transcript has 2 exons.